Molecule: small nuclear RNA, 126 nt
Organism: Neogale vison (American mink)
Lineage: Eukaryota; Metazoa; Chordata; Mammalia; Carnivora; Mustelidae
Gene: U4
Rfam family: U4 spliceosomal RNA
About the family: U4 small nuclear RNA (U4 snRNA) is a component of the major U2-dependent spliceosome.
Source: Ensembl
AGCUUUGCGCAGUGGCAGUAUCGUAGCCAAUGAGGUUUAUCCGAGGCGCGAUUAUUGCUAAUUGAGAAAGAACACACACGUGAUUUGCUAACUGAUCAGGCCAAGUUCAGGUCUCUCGAUCCCUAG